This 423-nucleotide ribosomal RNA is filed under the name uncultured cyanobacterium. RNAcentral describes it as "bacterial SSU rRNA". It matches the Rfam family "Bacterial small subunit ribosomal RNA", at positions 359 to 795 of the family's 1533-position model. Lineage: Bacteria; Bacillati; Cyanobacteriota. The record is from RNAcentral.
GAAUUUUCCGCAAUGGGCGAAAGCCUGACGGAGCGACGCCGCGUGAUUGAUGACGCUUUUCGGAGUGUAAAAAUCUUUUAUAUGGGAAGAAGUUUAUUGACGGUACCAUAUGAAUAAGGGGCUCCUAAACUCGUGCCAGCAGGAGCGGUAAUACGAGUGCCCCAAGCGUUACCCGGAUUCACUGGGCGUAAAGGGUACGUAGGCGGCGUAGUUAGUCGAAUGUUAAAGCACCGGGCUCAACCCGGGACAGGCAUUCGAAACGGCUACGCUAGAGGAUGUGAGAGGUAAGUGGAACUCAUGGUGUAGGGGUGAAAUCCGUUGAUAUCAUGGGGAACACCAAAAGCGAAGGCAACUUACUGGCGCAUUCCUGACGCUGAGGUACGAAAGCGUGGGUAGCGAAUGGGAUUAGAUACCCCAGUAGUC